This 254-nucleotide ribosomal RNA is filed under the name uncultured bacterium. Its description in RNAcentral is "partial 16S ribosomal RNA". It matches the Rfam family "Bacterial small subunit ribosomal RNA", at positions 524 to 776 of the family's 1533-position model. The record is from RNAcentral.
UACGGGGGGAGCAAGCGUUGUUCGGAUUUACUGGGCGUAGAGGGCGCGUAGGCGGUCGUGACAAGUCACUUGUGAAAUCUCCGGGCUUAACUCGGAACGGUCAAGUGAUACUGUCGGACUAGAGUACAGAAGGGGCAGCUGGAAUUCUCGGUGUAGCGGUGAAAUGCGCAGAUAUCAGGAGGAACACCGGUGGCGAAGGCGGUUCUCUGGGAAUAUCCUGACGCUGAGGAGCGAAAGUGUGGGGAGCGAACAGG